Hemicordylus capensis (graceful crag lizard) is the source of this 592-nucleotide long non-coding RNA. RefSeq lists it as uncharacterized. NCBI's taxonomy places the organism in Eukaryota, Metazoa, Chordata, Lepidosauria, Squamata, Cordylidae. The record is from RefSeq and is a predicted model, not a curated record. The transcript is spliced from 2 exons.
CCAGAAGCGGCAGUGGGCUCCAGAGGUGGGGGGGGGCCCGGCCCGGCCCGGCCCAGCCGCGGAGUCCGGAGGCAGUGGCGGGCCCGGCCCGGUGGUGGAGGCAAGACCCGAAAGGGGGAGAAGAAAGUGGGGGCAGAAGUGGAAGUGGGGAGGAGAGGCGUCUGAGCCCGGCACAGGCCAGCCAUGGUCAGGAAGCGGAGACUGGGCAGAAGGUGGGGGGAAGAGGUAAUAUGUGAAGAGUCAUUCAGCAUCUGAUGCCUGUUCAAAGAUAAGAUGAAACAUGUACAAGUGACUUUUCUGUAAUGCAAGCUCAUAACUCUGAAGUUCCUUUGGCAACUUAAGAGCUUUAAAAAAUGAACAGAACUCACUGGGAACCAUCAAGGAAACCAACCAACCAACCAACCAACCAUGAGCAAGUCGCAGUCUUCAUACCGUGCUUGCAAGCUUUCCAAAGGCAUCUAGCUGGUUAUUGUGGGAAUCAGAUGUUCAACUUGAUUAACUUUGACCUCAUCCAGCAAUUAUGUUUUUGGUUUUUUUUGAAAAUAAUGCAACAAUUGUUAAUUGUGACCAACAGGCAUAAUUUUGGUCUUGA